Molecule: ribosomal RNA, 801 nt
Filed under: uncultured bacterium
Lineage: Bacteria
Description: bacterial SSU rRNA
Rfam family: Bacterial small subunit ribosomal RNA
Source: RNAcentral
UAACCUAGCGGCGGACGGGUGAGUAAUGCUUAGGAAUCUGCCUAUUAGUGGGGGACAACAUCUCGAAAGGGAUGCUAAUACCGCAUACGUCCUACGGGAGAAAGCAGGGGACCUUCGGGCCUUGCGCUAAUAGAUGAGCCUAAGUCGGAUUAGCUAGUUGGUGGGGUAAAGGCCUACCAAGGCGACGAUCUGUAGCGGGUCUGAGAGGAUGAUCCGCCACACUGGGACUGAGACACGGCCCAGACUCCUACGGGAGGCAGCAGUGGGGAAUAUUGGACAAUGGGGGGAACCCUGAUCCAGCCAUGCCGCGUGUGUGAAGAAGGCCUUUUGGUUGUAAAGCACUUUAAGCGAGGAGGAGGCUACCGAGAUUAAUACUCUUGGAUAGUGGACGUUACUCGCAGAAUAAGCACCGGCUAACUCUGUGCCAGCAGCCGCGGUAAUACAGAGGGUGCAAGCGUUAAUCGGAUUUACUGGGCGUAAAGCGCGCGUAGGUGGCCAAUUAAGUCAAAUGUGAAAUCCCCGAGCUUAACUUGGGAAUUGCAUUCGAUACUGGUUGGCUAGAGUAUGGGAGAGGAUGGUAGAAUUCCAGGUGUAGCGGUGAAAUGCGUAGAGAUCUGGAGGAAUACCGAUGGCGAAGGCAGCCAUCUGGCCUAAUACUGACACUGAGGUGCGAAAGCAUGGGGAGCAAACAGGAUUAGAUACCCUGGUAGUCCAUGCCGUAAACGAUGUCUACUAGCCGUUGGGGCCUUUGAGGCUUUAGUGGCGCAGCUAACGCGAUAAGUAGACCGCCUGGGGAGUACG